UACGUAGGGAGCAAGCGUUGUCCGGAAUCAUUGGGCGUAAAGCGCGCGUAGGUGGCCCCAUAAGUCCGCUGUGAAAGUCAAAGGCUCAACCUUUGAAAGCCGGUGGAUACUGUGGGACUAGAGUACGGAAGAGGCGAGUGGAAUUCCUGGUGUAGCGGUGGAAUGCGCAGAUAUCAGGAGGAACACCAAUAGCGAAGGCAGCUCGCUGGGACGUUACUGACACUGAGGCGCGAAAGCGUGGGGAGCAAACGGG
This 253-nucleotide ribosomal RNA is filed under the name uncultured bacterium. RNAcentral describes it as "partial 16S ribosomal RNA". It matches the Rfam family "Bacterial small subunit ribosomal RNA", at positions 524 to 776 of the family's 1533-position model. The record is from RNAcentral.